Eleginops maclovinus (Patagonian blennie) is the source of this 4346-nucleotide RNA transcript. It is a transcript of the gene named Rho GTPase activating protein 1, with no coding region annotated. The record is from RefSeq and is a predicted model, not a curated record. NCBI's taxonomy places the organism in Eukaryota, Metazoa, Chordata, Actinopteri, Perciformes, Eleginopidae. The transcript has 14 exons.
UGAAAAUAACAAACCGGAAAAGGUGUUGACGCAUUAUUGUUGUCUGUCAACAGCCCUGAUCACAUCUACCGAGACGCCACAAAGCCCACCGGGUGACCGUACGGAAACUUCACAUUACGGACUUUGGCGUCUCCUCUGUGGAAGUUGCAGCUGUGUGUGGUGUGUGAGUGUGUGUGUGUGUAGGGCUUUUCUGCAGUGUGAUGUCUUCAGAGCUGCUGGUAGAUCUGGGGGAAGACCCGACGACGGCACAGUUGGGACAGCUGAAGCUGACCACGAUAGAGGAUCAGCAGUGGCCCGCAGACGAGUCCACUCUCACCAAGUCAGAGACGGAUAUCUCCCAGCGCUUCGAUGCCGACUCCCCCCACCUGCCCUGGGACCAUCCCUUCUAUGACAUCGCCAGGCAUCAGAUCAUUGAAGUUGCAGGUGAUGAUAACUUUGGCAGGAAGGUGAUAGUGUUUAAUGCAUGCAGGAUGCCUCCACAUCACGAACUGGACCAUCACAAGCUGCUGAUGUAUCUGAAAGGAACACUGGAUCAGUAUGUUGAAAGUGAUUACACUCUGAUCUACUUCCACCACGGGCUGACCAGCGAAAACAAACCCUCUCUCAGCUGGCUGCGGGAUGCCUACAGGGAGUUUGACAGAAAGUAUAAGAAGAACAUCAAGGCUUUGUAUAUCGUCCACCCUACCAUGUUCAUCAAGACUCUGCUGAUCCUCUUCAAACCAUUUAUCAGUUUUAAGUUUGGCCGGAAGAUAAACUACGUGAGCUAUCUGAGUGAGCUGGACGAUGUGGUGAAGUGUGAGCAGCUGAUCAUACCUGCCCGGGUCAAAGAGUACGACAACAAGUUGAGAGCGUCUCUGAAAUCAGGCGUCCCGCCCCCCGUGUCUCCUCUUCAUAGUCCCCCCCUCCCCAACCAGGUGUUUGGGGUGCCACUUGUGAUACUCAAACAAAGGCAUCCAGAUGAGGAUUCAGUUCCCGUGGUGAUGAGAGACACCAUAAGCUUCCUCUCAGAGAAAGGGUUGGAGAUCGAAGGGAUCUUCAGGCGUUCUGCUAACGUGACUUUGGUGAAGGAGACGCAGCUCCAGUACAACUCGGGGGCAACAGUGAACUUCAGAGAGAUCGAAGACGUCCACCUGGCUGCUGUGAUCCUGAAGACGUUCCUGAGGGAGCUGCCUGAGCCCCUCCUCACCUACCAGCUCUACAACGACAUCGUCAACUUCAGCUCUGUGCCCAGUGAAAGCCAGGCGGAGCAGCUGAAGGCCCUGGUGGAGUCGCUGCCGGAGGAGAACUACUCGUCACUGCGCUGCCUCGUCACAUUCCUGGCUCAGGUGUCAGCCAACAGUGAGGUGAAUAAGAUGACCAACAGUAACCUGGCUGUGGUGUUUGGUCCUAACCUGCUCUGGGGGCGGGACAAUGCUAUGUCACUCAGUGCCAUUGGGCCAAUCAACAACUUCACCAGAACCCUGCUGGACCAGCAGCACCUGGUCUUCACCUGAACCCCGUCCCUCCACCCUGCAGGCUCUCUUCAAGUCAGUCCAUUAAACACUAGACACUGAAAAGAUCCUGAGGACAGGUUGAAAUAAAUUCUGCUCACACCAUUCUGUAUGUCCUGAUAGCCCACUAGCCUUGUCUUUAUGUCCAUUUCCACGUGACUCCAGGCGCCAAGAUGGAUAUAGUACAAAUAUUAGACUGCAGGCCAAUUCCCCGUACAAAAAGAACCUACAGCACACUUCAACAGUGAAUACGUUGAUGGCUUACCCUCCACUCACACUGGCUCACUUUGACGGAGGUUUUAGAUAUAUUGUUUCUAAGAAGGAUUUCAGGGUGUCACCCAGAUGAAGGUCACCAGAGAAACACCCACUGAGUAACCUCUCAGCAGAUCUGCAGUGUUCAGAAUCGUUGAAGGUGGCUCUUCAUUUUGAUCACAGAUGAUUUCUGACUUUAAUCUCAGAACUCAAGAAAGCAUUUGGUCCGAUGAAAAUAAACACACACAUGUAGUAUGUGUUGCAACAUGUUCAGUUUAUCUUCCUUGGCUUAAAUGCAGGUAAAAUAUUGAUUUUGUGGCUCCAGUGUGAAUGCAUGGUGAGUCUCACUCAACCACUGGCUGCAGUGCAGGCAGCUCUUCCAGCCCUCCAUCACACCCAACCAUCCUCCAAAAAUCCUGAACCGUGUCCUUCCCUGUAAACCUCUGCCAUAACAGCUGUAGGCAGGGCGAAUCCGCAGCAGUCCUCUGUGUUGUGGUGCCAAACGUAAAGAGGACGGAGGUGUGUGAAAGUCUCAGGUUAACUCGCAGUGAACUCGGUUUUGAGAUUUUAAAGUAACAACUCAAACGUCCGUCCCACCCCAAACAUAUUCUCCGUAGAACAGCAUACUCCUUGGAACAAUUUGAAGCCCUGUUAAUAAUGAAGUCAGUCUGAGCUGUAUUAUGGUCUCUUAGUCACGGGUAAAUCACAACAAGCUGUGCACGUAUGUAGAUAACACACGUGCAUGUCUUAAUACAACCCCAAAGGCCUGAUAGGGUUUUGCUGCUGCCACAGUAUUUUGAUAAAUAUUUCCAGUGACGAACGAAAGAGGAAACUUGACUUUGGCACACACAUUUCGGUAAGUAGAGAGCAUCCAUGGGUUGUUUGAGCGUCACAGGAAGCUGUUCUUCCAGCAGUGUUGCAAACACUUCUUUAGGACUUGAAUCACAACAUUCAAGACUUGGAGACAACUUAUUUGCUGUGCAUCCUUUGCUUAUUGGUUGUCUUUACUGCACAGGUGUGUGUCAAUGUAGUUUACGGUAGUGAUCUUAACAUGUUUCAUUCGCUGUGAUCCCUACCAGAAAGUGUUCCUGCAGGGGUCUCUGUGGUGCCUCUUCAUUCGCUUCCGAAGCCUUAAAUCCAAUGUUUUCUGCCAUCUGUCUCCAGCUCAUCUGAAGCAUUGCAUUCCACGUCAAAUAAAAGCUGAGUUGAGCAGCUCAGUGUUCUUUUGAACUGUAGUUGUGUAGUGUUAUGCGGUGUAUGACCUAGAUAUUUGACCUCUGUUGUCUCCUUCUCUGUGGUCGUGACCUUGAUGUUAAGUCUCCUGGCCAAACUGUGCAUCGAAUCAGUCGUGUUUGUUUGUUUAUAGCCAAAAUACUAGCCUUGGGUAAAUAUAAGUAUUGUAUUUUUUUAUAAGGCUUAAUAAGAUGUGGCUGAAAAGCACGGAAAUAUGAGAGCUGAAGUUGACUGAAGCUGAACUCGAUCUUUAAUGUAGUCCGAUGGUGUGUGUUAGGCUAACUCAGCUGGACACUGCUCAGCUGAGUAGAAACAAUGUCAGGGUUUAAAUAUUGAGUGUAGUAGAAUAAAUCCUGUGUGUGUGUGUGUAUUAAUGUUCAGUGCAAUGGUCUCUCCAAUCUUGGUGAUGUUCAUUCUUUGAUAUGGGAAAGUUGUACAGCUCAAACUUUAUUGUAAAGCAGCAGAAAUGAUAUGAACGUUUUCCAUCACCUCGGAGGUACAAGUGUUUAACACAAGUGUGUGUGUGUGGCCAUGUGUGUGUGACCAUGUGUGUGUGACCAUGUGCAUGCCCUUGCCUUAUUUGUUCAAGUGAUCAUGUGGAUUAGCCAUUGAAGUGCCAGUGCACCCAAAACAGUUCCCCAGAUUCAGUGACGUACCUCUCUAAUCCAGGGGGUCCUAGAAGCCUUUAUAGGGCUGAGUGAGCAGGCUGUGCUGAUCAACCAUGUUGUUGCUAGCGAGCUAACAGCUAUAGUCACCUCAGGGCACGGCACAUCUGACAUUCAAAUCCACACACUCUGCCGUUAGCAUCAACAACGGGACAGAGGUGCUUUGGACCGAACACCCAGAGGGGACGAUGGAGCUCCAAGGCCUGUUGAACCCAGCUCUGACCUCAGAGAUAUUUCAUUUCUGGUAUUACAGAAUAAUUGUACAAUUUCAAUCAGGAUGAGUCAUUGUUCUCCCUUGACUUAUGUCUCGCAGCAUGGCCCGACUGCUCCCAAACAUGCUGUCAUUUUCCUAACACCCAUUAUUGGUCUUUAAUUUCUGCAGUCUCUAGUCAACCAAGUAUUAGAUUAUAAUCCAGGAAGAUUUUUAUCCUUUUACAACUUGGAUCUUCAGUGUGAUGUUGUUGCACGAGCUGUUCUCUGAUCAGAAUAGAAACCAGCUCUAUUUUAAUCAUCCCCUAAUAUCCUUUCGUCAUGGCAACAAUCCUAUUGGUUUCUGGGUGGAUAUACUGAGAGGUGCUCUUGUGUUCUUAACCACUUUCGUUCAUUACUUACUUUUGAUAUGUUGUGGAUAUUUGUUCUGUGUUAUUAAAAUGGUAGAACUGUAAUAUCAUGUGUGCAAACAAUAAAGGAAAAGAGACUGAUGUGA